CUCCCGCCGGGCCCGGGGCCGGAACUUCCGCGGGGGGAGCGCGGCCCGUCCGGCGGCAGGGCCGGGGCUCCGGCGUGGCGGGCCCGAUGGCGGCGCCGCCGCCGGUCUAUGUGUACAGUCCGGAGUACCUGGCGCUCUGCGACUCCCUCUGCAAAGUGCCCAAGCGGGCCAGUAUGGUACAUUCGUUGAUUGAAGCGUAUUCCUUACUUGAUCAGAUGAAGAUAGUCAAGCCAAAAGUGGCCUCCAUGGAGGAGAUGGCAAGCUUCCAUACGGACGCCUACCUGCAGCACCUGCAGAAGGUCAGUGAGGAGGGGGAUGACGACCACCCGGAGUCCGUGGAGUAUGGACUGGGUUACGACUGUCCGGCUACCGAAGGGAUCUUUGAGUAUGCGGCAGCCGUGGGAGGAGCCACCAUCACCGCAGCCCAGUGCCUGCUGGAUGGCAAGUGCAAGGUAGCGAUUAACUGGCCUGGAGGGUGGCAUCAUGCAAAGAAAGAUGAAGCUUCUGGCUUUUGUUACCUGAACGAUGCUGUCUUGGGGAUCCUGCGGCUGCGCCAGAAAUUUGACCGUGUCCUUUAUAUCGAUUUGGAUUUGCAUCAUGGGGAUGGAGUUGAAGAUGCCUUUAGUUUCACCUCGAAAGUCAUGACUGUUUCUCUGCACAAGUUUUCACCAGGAUUUUUCCCAGGCACUGGUGAUGUGACAGACGUUGGCCUGGGGAAAGGUCGCUAUUACAGCGUGAAUGUACCUAUUCAAGAUGGCAUUCAGGAUGAGAAGUAUUACCAGAUCUGUGAAACCGUGCUGAAGGAGGUGUACGCUGCGUUCAGCCCCAACGCGGUGGUGCUGCAGCUGGGGGCAGACACCAUCGCUGGAGACCCCAUGUGCUCCUUCAACAUGACGCCCGAGGGAGUGGGCAAGUGCCUGAAGUACGUCCUGCAGUGGCAGCUGGCAACUCUCAUCCUGGGGGGAGACAGGAGGCUACAACCUUGCCAACACAGCUCGCUGCUGGACAUACCUGACCGGGCUCAUCCUUGGGAGAACGCUGUCCUCCGAGAUCCCUGACCACGAGUUCUUCACAGAGUACGGUCCUGAUUACGUGCUGGAGAUCACACCGAGCUGCAGACCAGACCGCAACGAGCCGCAGAGAAUCCAGGAAAUUCUUAACUCUAUCAAAGGGAAUCUGAAGCACGUUGUUUAGCGGAGAAGACUCAGGUUUCUGCAAGAGGAUUUCCCAUGGGGAAGACAGUGUAUUUAUGUGAGCAGCUGGUGAAAUCUGUGGCUGCGGGUGAAAUUUGGAAGAAGUUACUGCUGGUUGAUUCAUUUUUUUUCUCUUUAUAGAAGAGAAUAAGAGCACUGUGGCUCUCCAGGCGGGAGUGUGGGCCCUCCAGCAGCAGCCUGCUGGUGCCGGCAGAGCCUCCCUUGCUCCUUCCACUCUCCUUUAUUAACACCGCAGAGUUCAUUCUCACAACUGGUUUUCCAUGGUUUUUAAGAGAGGGGCUGUUCGGAGCUGUGAACCCUCCCCAGCUGGAGCCCAGCACCGCAUCACCGUCCUGGCAGGAGCUCGGCCCCUGAGCUGCCCCGGGAGCGGCGCUGAGGGCCAGCCGGGCCCGGGCUGCGCCUCUUGCCCACAGAAAGGCGCAGCCGUUGUGUUUUUAACUGGGACUUUUUUUAAAUAAAGUGUUUGAAAUAUUC
This is an RNA transcript of Columba livia (rock pigeon), 1688 nucleotides long. It is a transcript of the gene named histone deacetylase 8, with no coding region annotated. Lineage: Eukaryota; Metazoa; Chordata; Aves; Columbiformes; Columbidae. The record is from RefSeq and is a predicted model, not a curated record. The transcript has 11 exons.